This 253-nucleotide ribosomal RNA is filed under the name uncultured bacterium. RNAcentral describes it as "partial 16S ribosomal RNA". It matches the Rfam family "Bacterial small subunit ribosomal RNA", at positions 524 to 776 of the family's 1533-position model. The record is from RNAcentral.
UACGAAGGGGGCUAGCGUUGCUCGGAAUCACUGGGCGUAAAGCGCACGUAGGCGGAUCUUUAAGUCAGGGGUGAAAUCCUGGAGCUCAACUCCAGAACUGCCUUUGAUACUGGGGAUCUCGAGUCCGGAAGAGGUGAGUGGAACUCCGAGUGUAGAGGUGAAAUUCGUAGAUAUCGGGAGGAACACCAGUGGCGAAGGCGGUUGCCUGGGGCUUUGCUGACGCUGAUGCGCGAAAGCGUGGGGAGCGAUCCGG